This 512-nucleotide ribosomal RNA is filed under the name uncultured bacterium. RNAcentral describes it as "partial 16S ribosomal RNA". It matches the Rfam family "Bacterial small subunit ribosomal RNA", at positions 30 to 523 of the family's 1533-position model. The record is from RNAcentral.
AUUGAACGCUGGCGGCGUGCUUAACACAUGCAAGUCGAACGCGAAAGGGGCUUCGGCCCUGAGUAAAGUGGCGCACGGGUGAGUAACACGUGGAUAAUCUGCCCUUAUGAUCGGGAUAACAGUCGGAAACGGCUGCUAAUACCGGAUACGCUCAAAAUGAACUUUUUGAGGAAAGGUGACCUCUGCUUGCAAGUUACCGCAUGAGGAUGAGUCCGCGUCCCAUUAGCUUGUUGGUGGGGUAAUGGCCUACCAAGGCAACGAUGGGUAGCCGAUUUGAGAGGAUGAUCGGCCACACUGGGACUGAAACACGGCCCAGACUCCUACGGGAGGCAGCAGUGGGGAAUAUUGCGCAAUGGGCGAAAGCCUGACGCAGCGACGCCGCGUGAGGGAUGAAGGUUUUCGGAUCGUAAACCUCUGUCAGAAGGGAAGAAACCGCACUGUGCUAAUCAGCAGUGCCUUGACGGUACCUUCAAAGGAAGCACCGGCUAACUCCGUGCCAGCAGCCGCAGUAA